UAGAACAGAAAAUCACAAAAAUAUUUGAACAGCUCACCAAGUCCCGAAACUAAACAAAAUAAUAACCAUCUCAUACUGUCAUAAACAUAUCGAAAUCCAAAACAAGCAACAUCACCGACACAAAUUAACUAACAGUAACCAAAAAAUUCCCAAAAGCAAUAACAAUGACGAGCUCAGAUCAAAUGAUCCUUCCCUUCACAACACCGAAGCCACAAUCCAGUAAGCAACAGCCGCUGUUGCUGCCAAAGCUGCAGCACCCAACGGCUUCAUCCCGACUGCCGCCGCCGCAGCAUCCGCUUUCUGAUCCUCCACACCGGGUGCCGCCGCCGGCGCACCACCCGGUGUCGCCGUCGGCGGAGCCGGCGGCGACAGUGGCAUUGGCCCCGGAGCCUCCACUGGCGCCGGAGCCAACGGCGCCGGAGCCGGGACCGGUGACCCGAACGGUGCCGGUCCCGGCGCCGGCGACGGAGCUUUCCCGAAUAGCUCCUCAGGCAGUAACACGCUAUCAACAGUAAGCACACACACCGGAGUUGAAUCCAACACCAUGCUCGCCACCCGGGACGUGUCAACGCCGGUAUCUAGACUCACAUCAUCACCGUGCGAUGUCGCCGAGAUCUCAAACUUUCCAUUGCCGGUCGAGGCGAGGGUGCGGAUGCCGGUGCCAUGCGCGCCAGCGGCGGGAAGCGCAUCCUUCGGAGUGUAAGAGGCGAGAGCAUGGUAUUGGAGCAGGGUGACCAGAUCUGCACUGGUGAGCGUGGUCAGAUCUGGAACACCUGCAGCCUUGAAUGCCUCGUCGUUUGGUGCGAGCACGGUCAGCCCCUUGUCCAUCGCCGACUGGUACAUUUUCAGGACGCCGGAGGAUACCAGUAGACCAGCAAAUGUUUUGCAGCCGGCUUUUUCCAGAACAGCUGUAAGGUUGGUGGAGGAUGCGUCUGGCACGUCAAGAAGUCCGGGGAAGACAAUUGGCGCCGAUACCUCGAGUAUCGAGAUGUUGUAUGGGAAUUGCUUGACGGAUUUGGUGAAAUCGGCGUCAAGCUUGGCUCCAGACGCCGCGGGGCCGAAAGCGACACGGCCGCCACGGAGGUUGGUGAUGUUGACGAAGCCGGAGUUGCCGGGGACAUUGCCGGUGGUCUGGAGGAGGGUGGUGGUGAGUGUGGUGCCGGAGGGGAGGGAGUGGAUCUUGGGGGCGUCGAAGUAGUCGAGGAGGGUGAGGAGGCGGAGGGCGUUCUUGAUGCCGGCGAUGGUGUGGUUGGCGGUGAGGGUGGCCAUGGCGGCAUUGGGGAGGACGAGGCAGGUGAUGGUCUCGUGGGCAUUGAUCUCGUCGGCGACGUGCGUCUCGGUGAGAUAUUUGUUGUAAAGGCUGUAGUCGGGGAAGCCGUCGAGGAUGGCGGUGAUGUUCGACGCCUCCGAUGCUGGCGCUAGCGCCGCCAUCACGGUGGCGACGGCGAGGAGGAGGUGGGCGACGGCCAUGGGUGGGGAGCUGAGCGGAGUGGUGUGUGAGAGAGAGAG
RNAcentral lists this unclassified non-coding RNA (1509 nucleotides) under Hevea brasiliensis (rubber tree). Lineage: Eukaryota; Viridiplantae; Streptophyta; Magnoliopsida; Malpighiales; Euphorbiaceae. The record is from RNAcentral.